Molecule: ribosomal RNA, 253 nt
Filed under: uncultured bacterium
Lineage: Bacteria
Description: partial 16S ribosomal RNA
Rfam family: Bacterial small subunit ribosomal RNA
Source: RNAcentral
UACAGAGGGGGCAAGCGUUAUUCGGAUUCACUGGGCGUAAAGGGUGCGCAGGCGGCCAAGUGUGUGAGGCGUGAAAGCCCGGGGCUUAACCCCGGAAUUGCACCUCAAACUACAUGGCUAGAGCAUUGGAGAGGGUAGCGGAAUUCACGGUGUAGCAGUGAAAUGCGUAGAUAUCGGGAGGAACACCAAUGGCGAAGGCAGCUCGCUGGGACGGUACUGACGCUGAGGCGCGAAAGCGUGGGGAGCAAACAGG